Molecule: ribosomal RNA, 674 nt
Filed under: Pseudovibrio sp.
Lineage: Bacteria; Pseudomonadati; Pseudomonadota; Alphaproteobacteria; Hyphomicrobiales; Stappiaceae
Description: bacterial SSU rRNA
Rfam family: Bacterial small subunit ribosomal RNA
Source: RNAcentral
CAGAACGAACGCUGGCGGCAGGCCUAACACAUGCAAGUCGAACGGAUYCUUCGGGAUUAGUGGCAGACGGGUGAGUAACGCGUGGGAAGCUACCUUGUGGUAGGGAACAACAGUUGGAAACGACUGCUAAUACCCUAUGAGCCCUAUGGGGGAAAGAUUUAUCGCCAUGAGAUGUGCCCGCGUUAGAUUAGCUAGUUGGUAAGGUAAUGGCUUACCAAGGCGACGAUCUAUAGCUGGUCUGAGAGGAUGAUCAGCCACACUGGGACUGAGACACGGCCCAGACUCCUACGGGAGGCAGCAGUGGGGAAUAUUGGACAAUGGGGGCAACCCUGAUCCAGCCAUGCCGCGUGAGUGAUGACGGCCUUAGGGUUGUAAAGCUCUUUCAGCAGUGAAGAUAAUGACAUUAACUGCAGAAGAAGCCCCGGCUAACUUCGUGCCAGCAGCCGCGGUAAUACGAAGGGGGCUAGCGUUGUUCGGAAUCACUGGGCGUAAAGCGUACGUAGGCGGACUGAUCAGUCAGGGGUGAAAUCCCGGGGCUCAACCCCGGAACUGCCUUUGAUACUGUCAGUCUUGAGAUCGAGAGAGGUGAGUGGAACUCCGAGUGUAGAGGUGAAAUUCGUAGAUAUUCGGAAGAACACCAGUGGCGAAGGCGGCUCACUGGCUCGAUAMCUGAC